Molecule: ribosomal RNA, 458 nt
Filed under: uncultured Allobrachymonas sp.
Lineage: Bacteria; Pseudomonadati; Pseudomonadota; Betaproteobacteria; Burkholderiales; Comamonadaceae
Description: bacterial SSU rRNA
Rfam family: Bacterial small subunit ribosomal RNA
Source: RNAcentral
ACCCGCACAAGCGGUGGAUGAUGUGGUUUAAUUCGAUGCAACGCGAAAACCUUACCCACCUUUGACAUGGCAGGAAUCCUAAAGAGAUUUGGGAGUGCUCGAAAGAGAACCUGCACACAGGUGCUGCAUGGCUGUCGUCAGCUCGUGUCGUGAGAUGUUGGGUUAAGUCCCGCAACGAGCGCAACCCUUGCCAUUAGUUGCUACGAAAGGGCACUCUAAUGGGACUGCCGGUGACAAACCGGAGGAAGGUGGGGAUGACGUCAAGUCCUCAUGGCCCUUAUAGGUGGGGCUACACACGUCAUACAAUGGCCGGUACAGAGGGUAGCCAACCCGCGAGGGGGAGCCAAUCCCACAAAGCCGGUCGUAGUCCGGAUCGCAGUCUGCAACUCGACUGCGUGAAGUCGGAAUCGCUAGUAAUCGUGGAUCAGCAUGUCACGGUGAAUACGUUCCCGGGUCUU